AUUGAACGCUGGCGGCAGGACUAAUACAUGCAAGUCGAACGAGUGGCGGACGGGUGAGAAAUGUCUGGGAAACUGCCUGAUGGAGGGGGAUAAAUACUGGAAACGGUAGCUAAUACCGCAUACCAUUAGAUGUUCCAAGAGGGGAUUAGAUUGUUGGUAGGGUAACGGCUUACCAAGGCUACGAUCCCUAGCUGGUCUGAGAGGAUGACCAGCCACACUGGAACUUAGACACGGUCCAUACUCCUACGGGAGGCAGCAGUGGGGAAUCUUGCACAAUGGGCGAAAGCCUGAUGCAGCCAUGCCGCGUGUAUGAUGAAGGCCUUCGGGUUGUAAAGUACUGUCAGCGGGGAGGCGUUACCCGCACAAGAAGCACCGGCUAACUCCGUGCCAGCAGCCGCGGUAAUUC
This 406-nucleotide ribosomal RNA is filed under the name uncultured bacterium. Its description in RNAcentral is "partial 16S ribosomal RNA". It matches the Rfam family "Bacterial small subunit ribosomal RNA", at positions 30 to 526 of the family's 1533-position model. The record is from RNAcentral.